Molecule: ribosomal RNA, 61 nt
Filed under: Rhizophlyctis rosea
Lineage: Eukaryota; Fungi; Chytridiomycota; Chytridiomycetes; Rhizophlyctidales; Rhizophlyctidaceae
Description: partial 28S ribosomal RNA
Rfam family: Eukaryotic large subunit ribosomal RNA
Source: RNAcentral
ACUUGGUCUCAAAUCAGGUAGGAAAACCCGCUGAACUUAAGCAUAUCAAUAAGCGGAGGAA